GACGAACGCUGGCGGCGUGCUUAACACAUGCCAGUCGAACGGAAAGGCCCUGCUUUUGUGGGGUGCUCGAGUGGCGAACGGGUGAGUAACACGUGAGUAACCUGCCCUUGACUUUGGGAUAACUUCAGGAAACUGGGGCUAAUACCGGAUAGGAGCUCCUGCUGCAUGGUGGGGGUUGGAAAGUUUCGGCGGUUGGGGAUGGACUCGCGGCUUAUCAGCUUGUUGGUGGGGUAGUGGCUUACCAAGGCUUUGACGGGUAGCCGGCCUGAGAGGGUGACCGGCCACAUGGGGACUGAGAGACGGCGCAGACUCCUACGGGAGGCAGCAGUGGGGAAUAUGGCACAAUGGGCGGAAGCCUGAUGCAGCAACGCCGCGUGCGGGAUGACGGCCUUCGGGGUGUAAACCGCUUUCGCCUGUGACGAAGCGUGAGUGACGGUAAUGGGUAAAGAAGCACCGGCUAACUACGUG
Molecule: ribosomal RNA, 468 nt
Filed under: uncultured bacterium
Lineage: Bacteria
Description: partial 16S ribosomal RNA
Rfam family: Bacterial small subunit ribosomal RNA
Source: RNAcentral